RNAcentral lists this ribosomal RNA (467 nucleotides) under uncultured bacterium. Its description in RNAcentral is "bacterial SSU rRNA". It matches the Rfam family "Bacterial small subunit ribosomal RNA", at positions 329 to 794 of the family's 1533-position model. The record is from RNAcentral.
UUCCAGACUCCUACGGGAGGCAGCAGUGAGGAAUAUUGGUCAAUGGCCGGAAGGCUGAACCAGCCAAGCCGCGUGAAGGACGAAGGUGCCAAGCAUUGUAAACUUCUUUUGUCAAGGGACAAAAUCAGGCUCGAGAGCCUGACCGAGGGUACUUGAAGAAAAAGCAUCGGCUAACUCCGUGCCAGCAGCCGCGGUAAUACGGAGGAUGCGAGCGUUAUCCGGAUUUAUUGGGUUUAAAGGGUGCGUAGGCGGAAGGUUAAGUCAGCGGUCAAAUGUCGGUGCUCAACACCGGCCUGCCGUUGAAACUGGUCUUCUUGAGUGAGCGAGAAGUAUGCGGAAUGCGUGGUGUAGCGGUGAAAUGCAUAGAUAUCGCGCAGAACUCCGAUUGCGAAGGCAGCAUGCCGGCUCCACACUGACGCUGAGGCACGAAAGCGUGGGUAUCGAACAGGAUUAGAUACCCUCGUACU